GCGAGUGAAGCGGCAAAAGCUCAAAUUUGAAAUCUGAGGCUCUCAGCCCCCGAGUUGUAAUUUGAAGAUGGUGUUCUGGCGCCGGCCCCCUGUCUACGUUCCUUGGAACAGGACAUCACAGAGGGUGAGAAUCCCGUCUGGCGGGGCGGCCUGGCUCCGUGUAGAGCGCCAUCGACGAGUCGAGUUGUUUGGGAAUGCAGCUCUAAGUGGGUGGUAAAUUCCAUCUAAAGCUAAAUAUUGGCGAGAGACCGAUAGCGAACAAGUACAGUGAUGGAAAGAUGAAAAGAACUUUGAAAAGAGAGUGAAAAAGUACGUGAAAUUGUUGAAAGGGAAGGGUAUUGGAUCAGACUUGGUGCUGUGCGAAUAGCGGCUCUUCUUGGGCCGCCCACUCGCACUCCACCGGGCCAGCAUCGGUUUGGGCGGCAAGACAAUGGCGGGGGAACGUGGCACUGCUCUCGGGCAGUGUGUUUAUAGCCCCCGCUGAUGUUGCCUGCCUAGACCGAGGACUGCGGCUUCUGCCUAGGAUGCUGGCGUAAUGAUCCAACACCGCCC
This 552-nucleotide ribosomal RNA is filed under the name Williopsis jadinii. Its description in RNAcentral is "eukaryotic LSU rRNA". It matches the Rfam family "Eukaryotic large subunit ribosomal RNA", at positions 89 to 650 of the family's 3401-position model. Lineage: Eukaryota; Fungi; Ascomycota; Saccharomycetes; Phaffomycetales; Wickerhamomycetaceae. The record is from RNAcentral.